UACGGAGGAUGCGAGCGUUAUCCGGAUUUAUUGGGUUUAAAGGGUGCGUAGGCGGACUGUCAAGUCAGCGGUAAAAUUGAGAGGCUCAACCUCUCCCCGCCGUUGAAACUGGUGGUCUUGAGUGGAUGAGAAGUACGCGGAAUGCGUGGUGUAGCGGUGAAAUGCAUAGAUAUCACGCAGAACUCCGAUUGCGAAGGCAGCGUACCGGCAUCCAACUGACGCUGAGGCAUGAAAGCGUGGGGAUCAAACAGG
RNAcentral lists this ribosomal RNA (252 nucleotides) under uncultured bacterium. RNAcentral's name for it is "partial 16S ribosomal RNA". It matches the Rfam family "Bacterial small subunit ribosomal RNA", at positions 524 to 776 of the family's 1533-position model. The record is from RNAcentral.